Long non-coding RNA from Scleropages formosus (Asian bonytongue), 312 nucleotides. RefSeq lists it as uncharacterized. Lineage: Eukaryota; Metazoa; Chordata; Actinopteri; Osteoglossiformes; Osteoglossidae. The transcript has 3 exons. The record is from RefSeq and is a predicted model, not a curated record.
GUUUGCACUGAGGAGGAAGAACUCGCAGUUCCACAUUGAUGCUCCACAAAGUCCUGCGAAUGCAUCAGAUGCGCACAGGCCCUCGCACUGCGUGUGCAGUGGCUCAUGAGCGCAAAUGCAGCGCUGCAGAUGCACCAGUACAGGAGUCUGUCGGAGCCUCAACGCACACUGCGAGGGAGCAGGGAGAGCAGCGAGGACUAUGCCUGGACAAGACGAUAAGGAUGAGGAUGGCGGCGGUGCGAAUGCUUCCAGGAAGGAAUGUUGGAGAAACGUCUAAUACACACAUUGUCAAAAAUUAAAAUGUUUGCUGGC